Long non-coding RNA from Pygocentrus nattereri (red-bellied piranha), 1482 nucleotides. RefSeq lists it as uncharacterized. The record is from RefSeq and is a predicted model, not a curated record. The transcript is spliced from 6 exons. Lineage: Eukaryota; Metazoa; Chordata; Actinopteri; Characiformes; Serrasalmidae.
CAGAGAUAGCUCCUGGUGGCCAGGUUCUCACUUGCUUCUGACAGAAAAUGACAGACAUCCUUCAAGAAGAAGGCAGAUCCCACACAGUGACUAAAUGAACCCGGACAGCAUCAUAUAUCAUACUGCCUGGAAUUCAAGGCUACAUGUAAUUUCAUGGGAACAUGGGGCCAGUCAAGGUGAAUUGGAAUUACCCAGAGCACCUUGCCAGAAACCUUGGACUGACACCAGUGCCCUCUGCUGCCUCCAUUUCCUCUUUCUUUUGCAUAUUUGUCUCAAUAAAUGGUUUGAGACCCUCAUACAAAAUGCAAUAUAAAUGAAGAACAUGAGAAGACACAGUGAUCGUUUCCUUCAUUGAAGAUCAAAGACUGAUGACCUGGCAGUCUUCUUCAGAAUAUUCUGAUAGAGAGCAGAAAAGCAAUGCUUUAAAGUAACAAUGUGCUGCUAUCAAAGAAGAAACAUUUACAAAUGGCGGGGAGACUUAUGGGCGAUAUUGUCUGGGAGACGGCGACUGGUGAAGGUGGAAGGAUGACGACCGUGUGCCUCACUGCGGGGAAAAUUGCUUAUUCUAUUCUUCUCAUUUUUAUUUUGUCAUAAACCCCAAAUCACUUCAUCUACAGGACACUAUGACUGUAGAUCUAUACUCUAUAUACAGAUCUAUAUACAUACCCUGUACAUAUAGUUUUCCCAUUCUAUUAAAUAUAAAGGGGCCAAAAGAAGGUUCUUUAGUAUGAAGGCAUUGUAGAACAACUUGGGGUUCCAUAUAUAGCACCUUUCAUUUGAGUGAUUUCAAAGAAUGAUCCACUGAAGUAAAGAUUGUUGAAUGAUUCUUGGUUUGGACAUACAGAGCAAACUUUAAUUGUAUAAAACCUUUGCAAUAUGUGCUUUAUGUUUAUGUUAUGAUGUAAACAGUCAUUCAGAGUGUUUUUAUGUAAAACGGUUUGUUUCCUAGAUAGAUAAGCAAAGAGUUCUUUGCAUCAUGAAAGGGUUCUUCAGAUUGAUGGAAAAUUUGCAUGAAUGAUCUAUAGACGGAACUAUGUAGCACCCAAAGGGGUUCUUCGAUUGUUAUAAGCUUGACUUCAUAGUAGUAGAACAACCCUUUUGAGUGCUAUAUAGAAGCACUUUCAAUAAGGUUCUGUAUCUAGAAACAUUCACAACACAUUUUUCACCACUCUGAAGAACCAUUUCAUGCUGCUAACCCUGUAAUCAGACAAAAGGUUCUUGGAGUGUUCAUGAUUCUAUAUAGAACCAUUUUUAAUGAUUAAAUGUGUCAGAACCAGAAGUUUUGUUUACAAUUCAUAAAAGAUAAAAGUGUCUGUAGGGGACCUUAAAGAAAGAAAGCACAACCAAAAACUGCAUUAGACUAGAUUUCCCUAUCCCAGUCCUACACCCUCAGAAAUAAGGGUUCCAUACCGUCACUGGAGCAGUACACCUCUUGGGGUGGUACCCUCAAGGGUACAUCUCAGUACCUUUAGUCAGGGAAAA